This 253-nucleotide ribosomal RNA is filed under the name uncultured bacterium. RNAcentral describes it as "partial 16S ribosomal RNA". It matches the Rfam family "Bacterial small subunit ribosomal RNA", at positions 524 to 776 of the family's 1533-position model. The record is from RNAcentral.
UACGGGGGGGGUAAGCGUUGUUCGGAAUUACUGGGCGUAAAGGGCUCGUAGGCGGCCAACUAAGUCAGACGUGAAAUCCCUCAGCUUAACUGGGGAACUGCGUCUGAUACUGGAUGGCUUGGAUUCGGGAGAGGAAUGCGGAAUUCCAGGUGUAGCGGUGAAAUGCGUAGAUAUCUGGAGGAAUACCGGUGGCGAAGGCGGCAUCCUGGACCGGCAUUGACGCUGAGGAGCGAAAGCCAGGGGAGCAAACGGG